AGUCCUUUGUGGUUCUGAGGCUGCUGACCAGGUGUUCCAAGAAUUCCACUGUAGUUCAUUUGGAGCUCACUGUGGCCAAAUUAAAACCAGGGAUGCCAUCUGCAAGAGAUACUACUGGCCUGGAAUGACUUUAGACAUAGAUGGUUGGGUCUCCAGUUGUGUAGUGUGCCAGUCAAAAGGAUGCAGCAUAAAGAAGCCUGUGGAAUACACCCCGAUACUGGUCAACAGCCCUUUUGAGCUAGUAGGCAUGGACCUUAUAGGGAAGCUGAGCACUACUGAGGAUGGACAUCAGUACAUCUGUGUAAUGAUAGACUAUUUCACAAAGUGGCCUCAGGCAUACCCUCUUAAAUCAAAG
Molecule: long non-coding RNA, 355 nt
Organism: Triplophysa dalaica
Lineage: Eukaryota; Metazoa; Chordata; Actinopteri; Cypriniformes; Nemacheilidae
Exons: 3
Source: RefSeq, a predicted model, not a curated record